This 1311-nucleotide long non-coding RNA is filed under the name Anolis carolinensis (green anole). Its description in RNAcentral is "lncRNA (ENSACAG00000044959.1)". The record is from RNAcentral. Lineage: Eukaryota; Metazoa; Chordata; Lepidosauria; Squamata; Anolidae.
AUGCUCGCACGCGAAAAUUUAUCUCUGAGGGUGGCUCCCACACCAAACAUCUCUGGUAUGGAAAGCGUUGGCCUUGUGUGGGAUUCACAGGAGAGUAUAGCCUUUCUACUGGUGUACCGUGCGCCUAAUGCACCAGUGGACAGCCUAUCACAGCUGCUAGAGGUUGUGUCGGAGUGGGCCUUGAGGUUCCCCAGGCUUAUUGUUUUGGGGGACUUCAAUGUCCAUGCUGAUGCAGGCUCCUUCUCCUCAGCAGCUGAAGACCUAGUGUCGACCAUGGCGACACUAGGACUCUCACUUUAUAAUACUGGGCCUACACAUCAGGCUGGCCACACACUAGAUUUGAUCUUUGGGGUUGGAAUCCAAGUGACCCUAAUCUCCAUUUCGGAGGUUCCAUGGUCGGACCACUGUGCCCUACGAAUCCAUAUAGAGCACACCAACCCACCCAACCUGGGCGCCAAACCUAUUUGGGUUCGCCCGAAGAGACUAAUGGAACCGGUCAGGUUCCUGAAUGCUCUAAAGGCCAUAGAACCUGUCAGCGACUCACUGGAGGUGCAAGUGGAUACAUGGAACACCAAAUUAUCCAAUGCACUCGAUGAGAUCGCACCUAGACGCCUUCUCCGACCCCGUAAGAAUCAGUCUCCUUGGUUCACUGAGGAGCUCCGUGCGAUGAAACGGGAGAAGAGACGGCUAGAGGUCAUGUGGCGGGAACGCCGUGAUGAGGAAUCGGAAUCAGCUUAUAAGAAGUCCAGAGAGUCUUAUGAGCAGACUAUCACCGAGGCAAAAAAGUCGUAUUAUGCUUCCUUGAUAGCGUCUGCAAGCUCACACCCAGCACAAUUAUUUAAGAUCAUUAGAUCCCUGACAAAGGUCCCUUCUGUUCCAAACAAUAAUGACCUGGCUCCUUCUGCUGAGGUUUUCCAGAGCUAUUUUGCAGACAAGAUCUCGCUUCUUCGUCGGGAACUCCCUGCCACGAUGGAUACAGUAACUGAACUUGAGACUCCGUGGCCACUCUCUGGGCCCAUCCUGGACCGGUUUACCCCGCUGGAUGCAGAGGCUGUCGACAGGAUCAUGACUGCAGCUAGGCCGACCACCUGCUCCUUCGAUCCGUGUCCCUCCUGGCUAGUAAAAUCCUGCCUAGAUGGAUUACGUGAACCUCUGUUGAAUAUAAUAAAUAGCUCCCUUGAGCAAGGAGUUUUUCCAGAGGGUUUAAAAGAGGCAUCAGUAUCUCCGCUGCUGAAGAAACCAGACUUAGAUCGUUCGCUUCCCGCUAGCUACCGCCCAGUGUCGGACCUUCCGUUUCUGGGCAAGCUGGUU